Molecule: ribosomal RNA, 488 nt
Filed under: uncultured Acidovorax sp.
Lineage: Bacteria; Pseudomonadati; Pseudomonadota; Betaproteobacteria; Burkholderiales; Comamonadaceae
Description: bacterial SSU rRNA
Rfam family: Bacterial small subunit ribosomal RNA
Source: RNAcentral
ACUCUGGUUAAUACCUGGGGUCCAUGACUGGUACCGUAAGAAUAAGCACCGGCUUACUACGUGCCAGCAGCCGCGGUAAUACGUAGGGUGCGAGCGUUAAUCGGAAUUACUGGGCGUAAAGCGUGCGCAGGCGGUUAUGUAAGACAGAUGUGAAAUCCCCGGGCUCUGUACCUGGGAACUGCUAUUUGUGACUGCAUAGCUAGAGUACGGCAGAGGGGGAUGGAAUUCCGCGUGUAGCAGUGUAAAUGCGUAGAUAUGCGGAGGAACACUCGAUGGCGAAGGCAAUCCCCUGGGCGCUGUACUUGACGCUCAUGCACGAAAGCGUGGGGAGCAAACAGGUAUUAGAUACCCUGGUAGUCCCACGCCGUAAGAUCGAUGUCAACUGGUUGUUGGGUCUUUCACGGACUCAUGUUACGAAGUUAUAUCGCGUGAAGUGGACCCGCUCUGGGGAUGUACGCCCGCCAAGGGUUGAAACUCAAAUGUAAUUG